This 1035-nucleotide long non-coding RNA is filed under the name Fragaria vesca (wild strawberry). RNAcentral describes it as "long non-coding RNA (FVES_LNC001497)". The record is from RNAcentral. Lineage: Eukaryota; Viridiplantae; Streptophyta; Magnoliopsida; Rosales; Rosaceae.
UCAGAACAAAGUGAUGCCCAUUAGUGUUAUUAGAUUCAAUAAUAAUUUAUUACAGAAGUAAACUGAACUUUAUUGUCUCAAGAUCUUUCCAACAAAUCAACAUCUGCCAGAGUACAUGCUUAAACUAAACAUCCUAAGGUUCUCUUCAUUAUCAGUUGAAAGCUAACAAGAAUAGAAUUAUAUCAAAAAGAAGUAAAAAUUGAACAGGAAAAGAAUUUGAGCCACCAAUGAUUUACUCACUAAGGCUUCAAGGCACUCGGAGCAUAUUUCUUUCGCAUGCCAUCCUAUCAAUUGAAUUCUCAUGUAAACAUAACAUUCUCAAUCCAUGCUGCAGCAAAGACUGUUAUCGGAAAGUAUUCACACUCACCAGGGUUGUGGUCAGUAAUGACACACGUUUCACUUCACUGCAAAAUUUCUCUCUACUGCUGGCCCUUCACAACCCCAGUUUUUGUAUUUCGCUUCUCUUGUACACAACUCCAAGUUGUGAACUGGUCAGAAAGUAGCAACCGAUCAAUUACUCAAUUUCAGAUCAAGAAAAAAAAGCGGAGAGGGGUUGAAGAUGAGAGAGAGAGGGAGAGAUGGGACCUGGUGUCGGCAAGUCGAAGCAAUGAGACAAUGAAUUUCACACUUGGAGCAUUGAAGAGACGAUCGGUGAGAGAACAGUCUUUACAAAUCAAUAUGCCCCAAAUUAAUAUUUGUGAAGUAGACCUCUAAUACCCAGUGUACCAAGAACAAAACUGAUCUCAAAAAUCAUCAUAAUCAAAGAUAUUGGAAAUGGAAUAGAUACAAACUAACCAGAAUCAAAUUUCCAAGCAGCAUUGAUCCAUUGAUGCUGACAUUUCGAGACGAAGUGAUGCCAGUCAUAGAGAUUGUGCGUCCCGUUCCUUCAUAUCGAAGCCCCAAAAUAGCGUUCCGACCCGACUGGGUUGUCUGACCUUCACCGCUUUGCCGACCCGUCCCGACAACUGGCAGCCGAGUCGGGGGAAUGGGCGAGAUCAAAAUUAUUGAAAUUUUACCCGGAGAGUAGUUUACCCA